RNAcentral lists this transfer RNA (87 nucleotides) under Candidatus Poribacteria bacterium. RNAcentral's name for it is "tRNA-Leu". It matches the Rfam family "tRNA". From Rfam's summary of the family: Transfer RNA (tRNA) molecules are approximately 80 nucleotides in length. Their secondary structure includes four short double-helical elements and three loops (D, anti-codon, and T loops). The record is from RNAcentral. Lineage: Bacteria; Candidatus Poribacteria.
GGGACCAUGGCGGAACUGGUAGACGCGCCGGACUUAAAAUCCUGUUUCCGAAUGGAAGUGUGGGUUCGAUUCCCACUGGUCCCACCA